GCCGAAAGUCUAGCCCUAAGUUAUUUUAUACUUUUCUCCUCCCCUUCAAAUAUAAACUAAAACAUUUAUUCAACCUAGUAAAGGCGAUUAAAAAGUUAAUUAGAGCUAUAAUAAAAGUACCGUAAGGAAAAGAUGAAAUAAAAAUGAAAUAAAUUCAAGCACAACAAAGCAGAGCUACUAUCUCGUACCUUUUGCAUCAUGGUUCAACUAGUCAAAUCAAGCAAAAAGAACUCCAGUUUGACUUCCCGAAACUAGACGAGCUACUUCGAGGCAGCUUAAUGAGCUUACCCGUCUCUGUUGCAAAAGAGUGGGGAGACCCCCAAGUAGCGGUGAUAGACCUAACGAGUCUAGUGAUAGCUGGUUACUUAAGAAAAGGAUUUUAGUCCAACCUAGAGCAUUUUUAAUAUACUUAACUAGCCUUAAUGCUUUAGUUUUAUUCAAAUGAGGUACAGCCCGUUUGAAACAAGGAUACAACCUGCACUAAUGGGUAAUAUAUUUAUUAUCGUGUAAACAAGUUGGCCUAAAAGCAGCCAUCUUUAAAAUAGCGUCAAAGCUUAUCUACACCCCCUUACCAAUUCCUUUAUACAUGUAUAACCCUUUAUUUAUAUUAAGUUAUUCUAUAACACUAUAGAAGCCCUUAUGUUGAAACUAGUAAUAAGAAGACAGCACUUCUCUUAAAUGUAAGUGUAGAUCAGAAAGGACUUACCACUGAUAAUUAAACGUUUAUGAUUUUGCAACAGCAACCCCACUAGAAAACCCUGUUAUUCUUAACGUUAAUCUGACACUAGCACAUUUCAAGAAAGAUUUAAAGAAAAAGAAGGAACUCGGCAAAUAUUAACCUCGCCUGUUUACCAAAAACAUCGCCUCUUGCACCAAUAUAAGAGGUCCAGCCUGCCCAGUGACCCAGUUCAACGGCCGCGGUAUCCUAACCGUGCGAAGGUAGCGUAAUCACUUGUUCUUUAAAUGAGGACUAGUAUGAAUGGCACCACGAAGGUUACACUGUCUCCUUUUUCUAAUCAAUGAAACUAAUCUCCCCGUGAAGAAGCGGGGAUUUAAAUAUAAGACGAGAAGACCCUAUGGAGCUUCAAACUAAAUAGUAUUGGCUUUUAUCCAUUUGCACCCCCCCCCGGGGCCCUAUACUAACUCUAGCCUUUUAACUAUUAGUUUUGGGUUGGGGUGACCGCGGAGCAAAAAUUAUCCUCCAUGAUGAAUAGAGCUACUCUUGAGCCAAAAGCCACAACUUUAAGCACCAAUAAACUGACAUAAAUUGACCCAAUAUUUUGAGCAACGAACCAAGUUACCCUAGGGAUAACAGCGCAAUCCAUCUCAAGAGCCCCUAUCGACAGGUGGGUUUACGACCUCGAUGUUGGAUCAGGGUAUCCCAGUGGUGCAGCCGCUACUGAAGGUUCG
This 1410-nucleotide ribosomal RNA is filed under the name Dendropsophus triangulum (triangle treefrog). Its description in RNAcentral is "partial 16S ribosomal RNA". It matches the Rfam family "Bacterial large subunit ribosomal RNA", at positions 393 to 2575 of the family's 2925-position model. Lineage: Eukaryota; Metazoa; Chordata; Amphibia; Anura; Hylidae. The record is from RNAcentral.